Molecule: microRNA precursor, 201 nt
Filed under: Physcomitrium patens
Lineage: Eukaryota; Viridiplantae; Streptophyta; Bryopsida; Funariales; Funariaceae
Description: Physcomitrella patens miR1073 stem-loop (ppt-MIR1073)
Source: miRBase by way of RNAcentral
GCAGACUGAUUUUAACGUGGAAGAAUGAACACAUGAAUGAUAUUAACGUCCACGAUGUAAAUCUAAUGCAGAAUUGUUGCUGGGAUUAACUUCAGUUUCAGACACAAAGUUAAUGACUGUGGAAACCCAGUUCACUACUGUGCUACUUCGUGGGCGUUAAUACAUUUCAUAUGUUCACUCUACCAUUCAAUCGUCUGGACU